RNAcentral lists this long non-coding RNA (20972 nucleotides) under Eucalyptus grandis. Its description in RNAcentral is "long non-coding RNA (EGRA_LNC003441)". The record is from RNAcentral. Lineage: Eukaryota; Viridiplantae; Streptophyta; Magnoliopsida; Myrtales; Myrtaceae.
CCCGCCCCCCGCCCCCCAGGACACGUAGUCUCCGUAGCAUCUUCAUGGAAGACGUGGGGAUGCACCUUAUCUCAGCAUCCGCCUUCCUUUUCCUUCUUUUCUUGUUCAAAUUGCAGAGAAGCAACAAGAGGAAUCUCCCACCGAGCCCGCCUUCACUCCCUAUCAUCGGCCACCUCCUCCUUAUUAAAGAGCCAGUCCACCGGACCCUUCAGUCUCUCUCCGACCGCUACGGCCCGGUCCUCUCCCUCUCCUUUGGCUCCCGCUCCGUGGUUGUCAUAUCCUCCCCAUCCGCGGCCGAGGAGUGCUUUACCAGAAAUGACAUCAUCCUCGCCAACCGCCCCCGCCUGCUCUUUGCUGAGAUUAUGUUCUAUGGUGGCACGACCAUCGGCACUGCCCCUUACGGGCCCCACUGGCGCAACCUCCGCCGCCUCACGGCACUCAAAUUUCUUUCCCCCCACCGCCUUGCCUGCUCCCUCACCAUCCGGCUGGAGGAAGUAAGGCUCCUCGUGAAGAGCCUCUAUGAGGUAGCCACGGCAGCGGUAGGGGGUGGCGGAUUCGCGAGGGUGGAAAUGAGGUCGAGGCUGGAGGAGAUGUCCUUCAACAUCAUCAUGAGGAUGAUCUCUGGGAAGCGCUGCUUUGGGGCUACCGUCGGUGCGGGUGACACCAAGGUGGCCAGGCAGUUCGUGGAGUUGAUGAAGGAGACAUUCGAGCUGAGCGGGAUGGAGCCCGGUGAUUUCUUGCGGGUGCUGAGGAGGGUAGUGGACUUCAAGGGGAGAGAACGGAGGAUGGUGGACGUGGCUAAGAGGUCCGAUGUGAUCUUGCAGGGCAUGAUAGAUGAGCUCCGGUCAAGAAGGAAGAGAAGCGACAGCGGUCGAGAGGUGGAGAGCGAGACGAUGAUCGAUUCCAUGCUGUUGGAGGGCUACUCGGACGACAUCAUCAAAGGCCAAAUCUUGGUAUGUGCAUAACACAUGUUCUGUUGACUUGACUUAUGCAUGUACAGUGAGAUGGUUCUUCAAUAUUUACAUUUCUGACUUUGACUGAAGUCUUUCGGUGCUCACCAACAGAAGAAAAUAGGAGUGACAAGUCAUUUGUUGCAGUAUCGCCUUGCGAGCUUAGAGUGGUAAGAACACGUGGGUUUGUUUGGAAAUAAGGGCAACGAGAGGUGAAGGGAGCAAAUGGACAAAAAAUUGACUCGCCUCCCAAAAAAAAAAAAAAAAACCAUCAUCUAUGCCCCUUAGGUUUGAAUGAUGGUUUAGCAUCUUCUAAUACACGUACCUUCAUGAAGUUAGAACGUUAAAAGCGCCGCCUCUUUUUAGCAUUUUACAAAUUUGACAAAUAAUUUAUUUCUUUUCUAUACCUAAUAAAAUGCAAAGCUAGUUUCACAUCUAUGAUUUAAUUUAUUCCGUAAAAGGUCUUGUUUUCUUUUCUAUUUAAGUAUAGGAUUUCUUAAUCAUUAUUGCAUGAUCCUAAUGUACGUGAGCCCGAUACAUAUGUACCGUUGAAUCAUAUGGUCUCAUGUGGAAUCCUUUUCAUCCACUGGUUCAAUGACUUGGGCUUAUAUCCGAGAGACUUAUAUGCACCAAUGUUCUGCAUUUUUUUUUUCGCUUCAAUAGUGGCUGCUAUCUAAUUUGUCGUUGAUUACAAAGUAGAAAGAAGAGAAAGGACAAAACGAAAGAGCUCUUAUAGGGCGCAAUAUGCGUAGAAUUGUCAAUUACAAAAUUUGUUUGAUCUUCUAUCCUGUGCGCAGAAAAUGAUUGAGGUCAAAUUCUAUUUUUCUUUCCUGAACUUACGCAUGUUUUUCAAAUCCGAUCGAUUCGAGCUAAGUACCCGUCGAACCAUGCCGAAGUCUGUCGUCAAGAAAACUGUCACCAUUGACAAGCCACCGUAGAACAUCACUUCUACAUCUACAUGAUGCGUUAAAAAAAAAAAGUUUGCACUUAUACAUGAACAAGACCAUAAGAGCGGCCAAUUACCCUUUCCUUUGCAUUUUCCUCUUUACGUCUGAAUCCGAUUGUUCUUUAGUUUGGAAAACAAGUUUUAUCUAUUUUUUAAACUAUUGAGCAUACUUUGUUACUUAAACACAAUUUGUGGUAGUCAAUACUAAGUGCAGGCACGGACACAUCCACAGUGACAAUAGAAUGGGCCAUGUCUCUCCUACUCAACCAUCCAGACGUCAUGAAAAAAGCUCAAGCAAAAUUAGACGACAUUGUUGGCCGAGACCGUCUAGCUAAUGAAGCAGACAUCCAGAAGCUACCUUGCCUUCAAAACAUCAUCAAUGAGGUGCUUCGAUUGUUUCCGCCGGCACCACUCCUAGUGCCUCAUGAGUCUGCUGAGGAUUGCAUGGUCGGAGGGUUCAACGUGCCCCGAGGCACCAUGAUCCUAGUAAAUGCAUGGGCAAUUCAGAGAGACCCAAAAGUGUGGGAUGAUCCCACAAGUUUUAUACCAAAGAGGUACCAGGGAUUGGAAGAGGAUCAUGCUUACCGGUUGUUGCCUUUUGGGAUGGGGAGGAGGAGUUGUCCCGGUGCUGGCCUUGCCAAUAGAGUGGUGAGUUUGGCUCUAGCUGCACUUAUUCAAUGCUUCGAGUGGGAACGAAUCGGUGAAGAGCCGGUGGACUUGUCCGAAGGGAUGGGAAUCACAAUGCCGAAGAGAGAGCCACUGGAGGCUUUGUGCAAAGUGCGUGAAUGCAUGAUUGCUAAUGUUCUCACACGGCUUUGAGAAGGUCAUUCUCCAGCGAAUUUAUUUGGUGAUGUUCAACCUCCAUAAUACUUAUGAACUAAUAUGCAAUAAUAAAGUAAAUUGGUAUGAAUGGAAUGAGGUGGAAAUGAAUGGAGGGAAAAAGACCUCAAAGUAAGAGUGGAAUGGAAUAAGAAUUCUAGUUCUUAUGUCUAGUGAUAAUGUAUUGAUGAAAUGCCCAUUCAUAUGGACUUUCAUUAGGCCUUUGAAAGGUAUCAGAAUACCAUGGACUAUUUUUAUUGUAAGAUGAUAUGUAUGUUUGAAGAAAAGACCUGCGAUUAACUAGAGUUGCUACGUGACUGUCAUCUCCUUGGUGUCCUCUGGAUUUUGAGUUUGAUUGGCAUCUCCUCCAGACAUGAUAUGAGUCCCAAGCAAUUCCAAUGUCAUGGGGUUAGAGGUUACUGUGUAAUUACAAAGAUUUGGUAGUUGCAGACAAAACACGUUGGGCAGCGAUGACGACCAUAGUGGCCGAUGGCAACAGGUGGUGGCUACUAGUGGUGGUAAAUGGUGACUCUACAUGGGACCAUGAUUGAGUGAUCUUUUGUGCGUUUGCAUCAUUAACGUCUCGCCAUGUCUACUUGAAGUGAGUUGCCCAUACCGAUGAUUCGAAUCCGACUAUUAUAAUCGGUACAUAUCUUGCUCCUUGGUGGAGUAAAGCUUUUCUUGAAAGCAUCUCCUUCGGCUCUGUCUUUCCCAGCUUGCCGUAACCCUGCUCUCGCUUUUUCCCGGCAGAUUAGUCUCAAUGAUCACUUUUCGAAAUUCUUGAAGCUAAAUAAAUAAAUAAAUAAAUAAAUAAAUAAAUUCUUGAAGCUUUCUUGGUCUUCCACUGAUAACUUGUCUCUUUCUGGAGAUAACUCUUUAAACUUGGCUUGGUUGGUUGGUUACUUUCCAAAAAUGAAGGUCUCCACGCGUCGUGGUUUGUCGGUCCGGGGUUCUUUUUCUCUGCUUCCACUGGUGCUGCUAGCCGUGAAGAUACGGAAGAUUUGAUGCCCCUCAUUCUUCUGGAACUAGUCAUCUUUAUGUCGAUCGAUCCAGGCCUCUUGAAAUCUUCUAUUUACCCACUUGCUUCUCUUUGAUUUGUUAUUUGACCGGUUAUAUCCCCUGCGGGGAUGGAGUGUAAAUAGAUGUCUUGUUGCUCUAAGUGUGAAAUAGUAGUAAUAAGAAUAGAGAUUUUAAGCUUUUUUCUCUUCCUCAUAAAGAUAGAUAUACCAGAGCUCACCUUGGACAGGCGAUGAAAACUUUGGAGAAAUAUUUUAAUCCUUACCAACUUCAUCUUUUGGCCCCGGCAUUUUGGUCAAAGCAUUUUGGUCCUUGAUUCGUUUGGCCAUUUUACCUAAUGAACACAAUGGUCCGAACUCAAUCAUCAAACUCUCGACUUAGUACAGUAAUGCCUGCAGAUGAGGUGUCCUACCCAUUAAUCUUAUCAAAUAAACUUCUCUUUUUUGUAUAUUUUCGGGAGAUAUAACUGGUCGGGGAAACAUAUUUCAGUUGGUAGAGUGGUGCAAGUAGAUGUGCCUCGGGAAAGGAUUUUUUCUUUUUCCUUUUUUCCAAUUGAACAACCUUCCUCUCCAUUGUACUGCAAAAAUGGAAGCCAGCCUUGGGUCACUGACCUCAACGUCCAGUCCAUCAACGAUUUCCUCAGUAUCCCGAAACAAACAAACAGCUUUGUCGAUGACCAAAAGGCAGGAUGAUUCUACGAAUGCCUAAAUUACUGUCUAUUUGCAAUUGUCUUUAUCUUAAAUCUGCGCUCAGGUUUAUUAAAAGUAUCUAAGGUGCAGAUUCAGAACCUUGUAAGAGUAUUUGACUUGUGAAGCCCGCGUUGAAGCCAAUUCGAUCCAUCUGGCAAAUUUUGACCAACCGACUGGUGCUGAUAUGGAUGCCGACUAUUCUACGUGGUGCGGCCGGCGCUGACAUGGAUGAUUUUAAAUAUUUUUCAAAUUACUUAUUUAGGCUCAUAUUAUUUUCAUCCUUAUGUUGACUCCUGACAUCCCUAUCAUAUCAAAUUGACUAUACUAACCCUUACGGAUUCCACUCUUAAUUUAAAAUUAUUUCUUACUAUUUUUCCCUUUGUUAUUGGCUCCUAACAUCCCUCGUCACAUUGAAUUAACUAUAUUACCCCUUGCGGCUCCCGCCCUUAAUUUAAUAUUAUUUCUUACACUUUUUUUUUCAAUUUUAAUAAAAGAAAAACUUACCCACAUCAUCUUCAAACAACUUUUUUUCACCCUAACCAAUUCUUUCUAGGGGUGGCAAAUGGGUGGGUCGGGUCGAAAAUGGAUCGACCCAUAUUUGACCCAUUUAACUUGUUUUGACCCAUAUUCUUAUAGUGUAAAUCUAGUGACCCAUACCCAACCCGACCCGUACCCGACCCAUAUUUGACCCGACUUGUAUUGCUAAAACCUAUUAAUAUUCUAGGAAAACCACCUUCUACUAUAUGCUAAUUGGAUUAAAACUUCAAAUUAAAUUAAAAAUAAUAAAUAAAAUAAAAUUAAAAAAAGUUAAGAAAAACCUAUAAAUUGAAGUAUUUAUAAAAUUUUUUAACUAAACCUAAAAAAGAUCAUUUUUAUGAUUUUUUUUUAUAAAAAAAGUAUUGUUAAAACAUUUUUAUGCAAUACAAAUUUUUUAACAAUUUUUAUGCAAUACAAAUUUAAUGGAAAAAUUUUAUAAUUCUUUUUAAAAUAUUUUUUAAAAAAUCGAUUUUUUACUUUUUUUAAAAAUAUAAUUUUAAUUUUUAAUAAUUAUUUUUUCUUUUUCUCUUUUCUUUUUUCUUCUUCUUCGGCCGAUCGCUGGCCAUGACGAUGGCCAGCGACUGGCCAUAGGUGAGGCCAAGCCUUACAAGUCGUUGGCGAGACUCGAGCUCGCCGGCGUCGGGUGGGGUUCCAUCUCGCCAAUCUGGCGAGGCUGAGGCCUCGCCUGACGCCGGCAAGCUCGAGCCUUGCUUGGCCUGCUGUCAGCCGCCAGCUAAGGAAGGAAGAAAAAGAAAGAAAAAAGAAAUUGAAAUAUGAAAAAUAAUUAUCAUUUCGAUUUUUUUUUAUAAAAAAAAUAUUUUUAUAAAAUUAAAAUAGGCCAUGGGAUUAAAAUUUAAAGUGGGUUUCCUAAUAACCAUUUAGACCCAUUUCUUUUUGUGUUUUAUUUUUUCAAAUCAAUUUCUGACCCAUAUUUAACUUUUACUUGACUCAUAUAUAAUCCAUUUAACUAAAAAUGGGUCAUAAUAUAGGUUUAUGACCCAUUUUGCUAGCUCUAAUUCUUUCACAACUGUUACAUUUAAAUGUUUCGUUCAUGUUUGUCUUCUUCAGAACUUGCCUUCCAUUAUCAUAACUUGAGUAGGCACUAAUCAUAUAUUAGAGUAAAGAAGUGUUAAUUUUAUUUGCAAAUUGUUUACUUUAUUUAUGUGCAAAUUUUUUGACUACGAAUUUUGGCACAUAAUUUAUGAGAAAUCAUUCAAAGAUUGAAUAUUGUGGAUGUUGUAUACAUUAUAGGUAAUUUACUCAAAGAUUAUGCUCCUACUUGUACUUAAAUUACUUUUUGGUGACAUAAUCAAGUGAAAGGUUGACAUCAAGUCGUGCCUUGGCAGGAUUGUGUUUCAUGUAUGUUUUGAAAAAUGGAUGUGAGUAGAAAGUAUGACAUGACAUAUAAUGCCCACAUCAUAUGAUGACGUGUCAUGUAAGGAUAUGUUAUGGUAACAAUAAUGAAUCAUGUGGCAAGCAAAUGUAUGAGCGGAUAUUUGUCGAGAUGACAUGAGCGACCAUAUCACUACUUUGAGCCGACUUAUUUGGGCAUGUAUAUUGUCUCAAAGGAUGCAAGUGACUGCUUCAUAGCAACUUUCCCUUAUAGCCGGUUUUGAAAAAUAAAACUUUUUCGCCGAAAUUUUUAUGACUUUUCCGAUGAGUUUGUUAACAAAUGCACUUGUUGCCCUUGUUAAUUAAUUAAUUAACAAAAUAUUUUGUCUUUCAAUUAGAUGACGUCAAUGGGCAAGUUCGAAACGAGCUUGUGAACCUGGCAUAUUUUGUUGCCUAGGCCUGCCGUGACAAAAAAUCUAUGUACAAAAUUAUCGGGCCGAACCGGAUUGGACAAAGUUUAAUAACUAAUUAGCUUUGCAAAAGCCCUCCGAAGAGGGCCUCUUUGGGCCUUUGUUACUUAGGCAUGCCGGUGGUGUGUAAAUUGUCCAAAAAGCCAUAAACCUAUUGUACUUUGACCAAUUUAAUUUUAAAUAUUUUAAUUCCAUGAAUUAAGUCCUAAACAUUUUUGCGUUUUGUAUUGAGUUAAUCCAACCAAUUUUAGCCGGAAAUCUUUGACAUCGACGUUGAUGGUCUUAUGUGGCAAGGGCGACGCUAAUGGGGAUAAUGUUUAUAAUUUAUUUUGUAAAUUUCUUCUUUUUCUUUUAUUUAGUUUCCUUUUUUCCCCACCGGUCAACCCUCGUCAGUAGAAAGAAAGAAAAAGAAAAAAGAAAGAAAGAAAUAAUAAAAAUAUGGUCCACAUUAGUACUGAUUGUCCUUCGUGGCACUACCCAUGUCGACAUUAGCGAUUUUUUUUGUUAAAAUUGGCCAUAUGGACUCAAUUGGCAAAACGUGAGAAUAUUUAUGAUUCAAUUGAUAUAAUUAGAAGAUUUAAGAUUGAAUUAAUCAAAGUGUAAUAUAUUUAUGAUUUUUUGGACAAUUCUUUUUACGGGUGGCCAUUGGACUCAUAAUCAGGUCCAUUAUCAAUUUUCUAGCCUCAAAUUUGAUUUAAUCAUCAUAUGAUCUCCUGGAUAAAUGACAUAGGGUUCGAUCGAGUCUAAUUAAGGUUUUCUUUUUGGACAUAGCUGGAUAACAUCAGUAUUAUUUUCAAAAAGUCAAUAUUUUUAGGGUUAAUACCCUAAAAAACCCCAAACUGGUACACUUGUGACAAAUUUAUCCCAAACUAUUUUUUAGACCAUGAAAAACCUCAAAUUGAUACAUUUGUGACAAAUUUACCCCGACUGACCAUAAAAAACCAUAAAUUUAUACAUUUAUGACAAAUUUACUCUAAACUAUUUUUUUUUUUGGUAAAGUCUAAACUAAUUUAUUCGAUCGCAAAAAACCCCAAACUGAUAAAUUUGUGACAAAUAUACCCUCCGCUAAAUUAGAUUAAUACCACAAAAAAAUCACAAAAAUUGUAAACUGUGACAAACGACGCAUAAAAUCCCAAAUCAGUAUAUCAAUCAACUAUCACGUGUAAUUUAACUUAAUAAUUUGACGGUAACAUUUAACGAAAACUAAUAGAGGGUAAAUUUGUCACAAAUGUACCAGUUUGGGGUAAAUUUAUCAAAAGUAUACCAGUUUAUGGUUUUUGAUGGUUAAAAAAAUAGUUUGGGGUAAAUUUGUCACAAGUAUACCAGUUUGGGGUUUUUCGGGGUAUUAACUCAUAUUUUUAUAUCGACGACAUAACAACGUGUUUUAAAUCAAAGGUGCCAUAAUUUCCACAAUAUGACACAUUACUUUAGGCUAGAAAAUUUUGCUAGAAUAUUGUCAGGUGUGGGAGGUUGGGUGGGAUUUUCCGUCGAAAUGCACCAUAGUUUAGGUGUCGGGACCUAAGAUGGAACCAGGAUUGAGUCCAGUGGGAUUUUGGGGCAUCUCAUGCCGAACCGCAGGGCCUGAGUGCCCGGCCUUGCACCUUCAGCAUGCAACCCGCGGACGCCGGGUUACGACAUCGAACUCGAACACGACAACAUGUCUGACGUCAUAAAACAAUAUCAUUAUAUGUUUCGAUAUUUUCGGGCUUAAUUACCACCGCACGUUCCUGUAAUUUUACUGUUACAAACGACACGUGAUAAAGAAGUGUGCCGACUCCCAGGCUGGAGUGCCUCGGAAAUUGGUAUCCGAUCGCUGGGAAGGAUAAGGCAUGGCUAUUUCCAUUUGGUUUCUUCCACAAUCCAAAGGGCCACAAGGUGAAGAGCACCAUGAUCUUCGACCUUGUCGUUUUUGCCCUUCUUGUAUGAUGAAUAGUCAAUGUUCGGCCCAUCAGUCUUCACGUCUCGAAAGGAGUGCGAAGGACGGAACCGUUCGUGUCCAUUCAUAAGUGUGAACUCAUCCUCCGAACAACUAGUGGUUGAAACAAAAAGAGAAACGAUUAGAUGAUAAUUUAUAAUUUAUUGUGAGAGUAACAAUUUAUUUUAGAUAAUAAAAAAAUCAAAUUAUAGAUAACUAUAAAUUUUUAUGGGAAUUUGGGAUUCACAACAAAUUUCAAGCAUAAUAUGAUUGAUUUUUUUUUGUCAAACAUAAUUAUGAUUGAUUAUACAAUUCCUUUUUUUUAGAGAAAAAACAAUUUUAAAAACAUUUUUUGAAAAUGAUUAUUUGAAUUGCUUGAAAUAAAUUCAUCAAUAAUAAAUGUUUUUAUUAUCAAUAACAAUUUAUGUCGCGAAUGAUGACAAUAUUUUUCGUCAUUCAUUUUUGUAAGUGAUUUAAGUGAUCAAUUUUUUUUUUUUUGGGAAAAUACUUUUCAAAUCAUUUAGGUUUUGCGAAAUAAACACACCAUAUGUUUACAUCUAAUUGAGAAAAAUGCAUUAGAACUCUUGCAACUUCUCUUCGAGUGUAAUGUUAUUAUGAGUUUCUUUAUCAUGCAAUUAAAUUAAUUUUUUUUUAAAUUGAGGCGGUCUAGUAUUUAAUAAAUCGGACUUCUUUAUUAGGUUAAUUAAAAUUUUGGGUUUUGCUAGCAUAAUACUUUUUAGGCUAUUGUGAGAAAAAUAGUUUGUUAUGAAUCAUAAAUUUUGAAGAAGUUGACUCAACAAUAAUUUAUAUUUAUUUGUUAUUUGAUUUUUUGUUGUUCAGAAUAGAUUCUUAUUCUUAUAGUAGAUUAAAGAUUGUCACACAAUCGUCUCUCUAAAAUUUUAGAGAGGCUUUUUUUUUUUUUUUUGUUACUUCAUUUCUCCGUGGUCAAAUAUUUGAGGAAUCGACAUUUUUGGUAACUUUCCUCAUUUAAAGCCUAACUUCUAAAUUAAAAUUCAGACCUAUCGUCGAAUGGCUUUAAUUUUUUUUUUAAUGUCUUGCGUUUGCAAUUAUAUGGCUUUCUUUUUCAACUGCGACUUGCAGAUUGCAGUACACCGUUUUUGCUUUUUUAUUUUUGGCCAGAUUCCGCAAACACAUUUUGUAAUAAACGGUUGUUGCUGCACAUAGAAGUGAUUUAUUUGUUUACUUAGUUUAAAAUAAUUUAUUGACAUGAUCCGGUGAUGAGUCGCUGGUAGUAUUGCACUGUCUUGGUGAAGCUAAAUUUGAAAUUUUAUGCGAAAAUGUGUGGCGGGUCUGGAUCGGACUCUGGCAACAAUAUAGUUAUUGGGAUAUAUUUGGGAUCAGACUAACCAACCCAAAUUCAUGAUAUGUCAGAGAAUCUUGCCUAGAAAUAUUUGUAUGGAACUUAUUAAGUAUAUUAGAAGACACUGGCAAUUAGUUUAGAAAUCACUAAACAUAGGCUUACAUGAAUUUAUUUGACACAUGAUCAUUUUAAUUUAUUGAGUGUCAUAUACGUGUUGGCACCCCAAAAAAAUUGUCAACUUCGAUGUCAAAGAGUUAAUAAGAAUUGAUGCCUCUCACAAUACGUUGAUUAUGGCUUUGAAUAUGAUACUAAAUCAGGCCAAUUUAAUGAUGAAGUGCUAAGACUAUUGAGGCAAAGAGGAAUUUCUCAGGUUGGAUCGUAGUGAUAAAGUAGAGUCUCGAGUACAUAAAGUCAAGUCCGAUUAUGAGUAUGGACUGAUUAAUAGAACAUGAUGGGUAUCAAUAAGGAAGGGGUAAACAAUAUAUUGACCAACACAAGUGAUGUGAUAUAGACCACGUAUAAAAUGGACAGUCAAACGGAUGUUGAUUCUAAGAAGCAAAUAGAAUUAGGUUGACAAUGGGGAACGUGUUUGACUGAUAGCUGAGUCGACGUCAUUCAAGUCAAAGUCAUUCAUGGCGAGCAACAUUGACAUCGAUUCACCAAGUUUGGCUGAAAUCAAUUUGACUACAGGGAUGAAAAUAGGGGGAACAGGUUAAUCGUAGUCGAAGUCUUAGGCGGUAGCAAUUAUCAAAGGUGUUGUUUGAAAGUUGUAGAAAUACAAUUAUUGUAGCCAAGUCAAUUAGUUGUCACGGUCGAGUUUCCUGAGCGAGAAAAAUUAUACAAUCAAAUAUGUAGUCAAAAUCUGAUUUUAAUGAGUGGGCACAAUUUACUAAUUGGUGCGAGAGCCCGGGAUAUAUCAAUCAAUUCGUAAGCUCAAUUCAUACCUUGUCGAUUAAUUCAGCUCAAUCAUUUUGUUUAGAAGCAAAGGCCAAUUUUGGCUAUAGUUUGAUUCGAUGGGUUUGCAGAUGUCAAUUAUGUGUUAGUUAACGAUUUAAUGAAUUAGUUGUCGCUUUCAUGGUUAUUGAUUAACUAUGAAGAUAUCAAUACACAAGUUUGAAGUCGAUUUUGAGACUGCUAAUCAACCACAUAGCAAUUGGGGAUUCUUUUGAUCUAUUUGCAUCGAUGUCGGUUGAUCUUCCAAGAUGUUUAUUGGGCCACUAAGGUUGGAGAACAAAACUAGAGUCUAAGUUUAAUUACUUUGCAUCUAGUAAAUGUAUUUAGUCAUAGUUUUAUGAGUCUUAAGUGUGUCAUAGGUUUCAAGAGUCAAAGUUCAAGUUCUUAUAUGUAUAAGUGCAUUUUCUAGUUCAAUAUUUUUAUCGAGCUUUCUAGUUCCCGUGUCUUUAUUAGUUUAAUAGUUCCAAGAUGUAUUUGGUCAUGGUUAUAAGUCAUGGAUGUAGAGAUAACAAAUAAUAUAGGCAACAUGAAGUUUUGUAUCCCAAUUUCUAUGAAUAAUUUGAUAGGUGUUACUCUGCCAUUGAGAAAUGGUAUGAGGGGUUAAAAAUUUGACCCAACGUACCUUGUAGAACUUACCUUGUAAAACUUCUUACUUCUUACAUCUCUCUACCCGUCCUCUCUCUCUCUCUCUCUCUCUCGGAGCCUCCAUCACAUGCUCAUAGAAGACGCGUGGGUGUACAUUCUUUCAGCAUCCUCCUUCCUCUUCCUUCUCUUCUUGUUCAAAUUGCAGGGAAGCAACAAGAGAAAUGUCCCACCGAGUCCAUCCUCACUCCCCAUCAUCGGCCGCCUCCUCCUCAUGAAAAAGCCGGUCCACCGGCCUCUCUAGUCCCUCUUCGACUGCUAGGGCCUGGUCCUCUCGCUCUCCUUUAGCUCCCAGUCCGCAGUGGUCGUAUCCUCCCCAUCGGUCGCUGAGAGUGCUUUACCAGGAAUGACAUCGUCCUCGCCAAUUGCGCCUGCAGGCUCUUCGCCGAGAUUAUGGCCGACGGCCAGACCACCAUUAGCACUGCCUCUUACGGUCUCCACUGGCGAAGCCUCCUUUGUCUCACGGCCUCCAAAUCCUUUCCCCGCACCACCUUGCCAGCUCCCUUGCUGUCCGGCUAGAGGAAUUCAGGCUCCUCGUGAGAAGCCUCUAUGAGGCAGGGGGCGGCGGUUUCGCGAGGGUGGAGAUGAAAUCAUUAGGCAGAUGAUCUCCAGGAAGCGUUACUUCGGGGUUGCUGCUGACGCGGACAAUGCCGAGGUGGCCCAGCGGUUCAGGGAGGUGAUAACUGUGAUAACUGAGUUAUUCGAGCUGAGCGGGACAAACCCUGACGAUUUCUUGCCAGAGUUGAGUAGGGUAGUGGACUUCAAGGGGAGAGAGCAGAGGAUGGUGGACGUGGCCAAGAGGUCCGAUGUGAUGUUGCAGGGGAUGAUAGACGAGCUUAGGUCGAGAAGGAAGAGAAGUGACGGUGACCGAGAGGUGGAGAGCAAGAUGACGAUCGAUUCCAUGCCGUCGGAGGGCUACCCGGACGACAUCAUCAAGGGCCAGAUCCUGGUAUGCGUAUAACACAAGUUCUGUUCACUUGAGUUCAUGCAAGGAGUAUAGAUAAAAGUACAAAUAAAGCCUUAAACCUAUUACAGUCAUACAAUUUCAAUUUUAAACUUUUUAUUUGUGUCAAUUGAGUCUUAUAACAUUUCUCAUUUUGUCAAUUGAGUUUAUUCGACUAAUUUUAUUCGACUAAUUUUGGCCAAAACUUCUAGUAUGGAUAUGUGGCAUGUUUGGCAUCAACGUUGAUAUUUUUAAUUAUUUUUAAAAACAUUUUCAACUUUUUAAUUUUUUUCUAUUUAAUUUUUUCUUUUCUUAUUUUUUCCUUGAUUUUGGGCCAGGAUGCCUUUGCUGGCCCUAAGUCUAGAAUAAAAAAGAAAAGAAAAGAAAAGAUUUAUUAAAAUGUCACUUAAAAAUAUUAACGUCAAUGACAACUAUGUCACAUGACUCAGCCGAUGUCUAAUUUAGCGAUUUUCGACCUAAAAAUUGAUCAGAUGAAGUCAAUUGACAAAUGUGAAAAUAUUUGGGAUUUAAUUGGCGAAAUUAAAAAGUUUAAGAUCGAAUUAACAUAGUUGUAAUAUGUUUAGGAAUUUUUUUGGUAACUUUCUCCUUUAUGCAUGUAUAGUGAGAUGGUUCUAUAUUCUUUAUUGUCUUGCCAAAAUAGGAAAAACGAGCCAUUUGUUGGGAUAUUGCUCGGUGAGUUUAACGUGGUAAGAACGCGCGUGGCUUUGUUUGGAAAUAAGUGAAACGAGGGAUGAUGGAGCAGAUGAACAAAAAUAGGACCACUCCCGUAACAAGGCCUUUUCUUUGACCCUCAUAUAUAAGACCGUUAAAAAUGACAGCUCCACAAAUCUAACUGUCUAUAUUAACAUAAGAGAUAGGGCAUGAAAGUUCUAAAAUUUGUUAUGAAAGUGUAAUUCAGUCUUAAAAUUUGUAAAAUUACAAAAAAUGUAAUUGAGGUUUAAAACUUGUCAUAUUAAUUCAAUCAAAUCUUUAGUUUAAUUUUAUCCAAUUUGACUAACAAAAAAAGUUGACGUAACUUUUUAUUAUUAUUUUCAUUAUAUUAUAUGGUGAUGACAUGAUUAAAAUGAUGUUAUUUUAGUUUAAAAAUGAGUUUUAAUACAAAUUUUAUUUAAAUUAAAUUUAAAAAAUAAGCUAAAUUUAAAGAAAAGGAGAAACCAAGCUGGGAAGACUGAUCGACCAAAAAAAAAAAAAGCCUGGGAAGACUGCAAGCUCUUGCUGUCGCCACCCCCACCAUCAGCAGAAAGCAUUGGUGAGGGUGCAAGAUGGCCGGCAAUCCUUGUUGGUCCUUCUUGGCGAUGGUGGGGAGGGUUGCAAUCUCUCUCUCUCUCUCUCUCUCUCAUAUAAUUUAGCUUAUUUUUAAAAAUUUAAUUUAAAAAAAAUUGUAUAAAACAACGUUUUGGUCUUAUGUUUCAUGAUUCAGAUACGUCACCACCACGUAGGAGAAAGAAAAUAUAUAUAAAAAAAAAGCUACGCCAAUAUUUUCUAUUAGUAAAGUUGGAAAGAGUUAAUAAAAGUAUUUGAUUGCACUAAUUUGAUAAGUUUUAUGACUUGAUUGCACUUUUUAUAUGUUUUAGGAGUCAAUUGUACCUCCAUGACAAGUUUUAGGAUUUCUUAUGCAUUUAUCCUUCAAUUUAAUUGUUUUUAUUAUGCUCGAUAGAGGCCAAUACUGAUUUGACAAAGAAUAGAAGAAGGAGAAUUGCCUUUUCCUUUUUCUCUUAUGUGGUAUAUCCACUUAAAGGUCACAUACUUCUUUUCUAUUUUGGUAAUAGUCAUCUUUCUAAUUUAUCAUUGCACGAUCCCUGUGCAUGUGAUUGAGAUAUUGAUACCUCAUUGGAUCAUUUGACUAUCAUAUGGAGCCCAUCUCUUAAGAUGCAUGUGAGUUGGGGAUCAUGCCAACACUUUUCUUUUCCUAGAAUGGUAACUGCUAUUUAAAUUGUCCACGCCAUACUCUAGCAGAUAUCUAUGUUAGCUUGAGUUGAUCAAAAUUGGGGACUCCUUCAUUAUAAAAUUUAUGCAAGUCAAAUGAUUUUACUAGUAAAACUUGUGGAGUACAGGUACUGGCUAGUCGAAUUACAUUUAUAUCUGCAUGAUGCAUUUUACAUAAAUUUUGGAGUUUACAUGAAUAAGACCAUGAGAGCGACCAUUUAUAGAUAUUGACUCGCAACUGAACCUUUUCGUUUGCAUUUUCCUCUUUUUCGUCUGAUCUUAGAAACCAGUUUCAUCUCUCUUUGAAACAACUAAGCAUACUUAGUUGAUAAUCUAACUAUGAUUCGCGGUAGACAAUCCUAGGUGUGGGCAUGGACACAUCUGCAGGGACAAUAGAAUGAGCCAUGUCCCUCCUACUCAACCAUCCAGGCAUGAUGGAUGAAGCUUGAGCAGAACUAGACAAUGUCAUAGGCCAAGACUGUCUAGCCAAUGAAGCAAACAUCCACAAGCUGCCGUUCUCCAAAACAUCAUCAAUGAGGCCCUCUGAUUGUUUCCGCUGACGCCGCUCCUAGUACACCAUGAGUCCUCAGAGGAUUGCACAAUUGGUGAGUUCAAUGUGCCCCGAGGCACCAUGGUCUUAGUAAAUGCAUGGACUAUUCAAAGAGACCCAAGAGUGUGGGAUGAUCCAACAAAUUUCAAACCAGAUAGAUAUGAGGCAUUGGAAGGGGAUCAUGCAAACCAGUUGUUGCCGUUUGGGAUGGGGAGGAGGAGUUGCCCCAGAGCUGGACUUGCCAAUAGUGGUGGGUUUGGCUCUAGCGGUGCUUCUUCAAUGCUUCGAGUGGGAACGAAUCGAUGAAUAGCAAGUGGACUUGUCAAAAGGGAUGGGACUCACAAUGCCCAAGAGACAACCAUUAGAGGCUAUGUGCAAAAGUGUGUGAAUGCGUGAUUGAUAAUGUUCUUGCACAACUUUGAGAAGGUCAUUCUCCAAUGAAUUUAUCUUGGUCAUGUUCAAAUGCUCAAAUGCCGUAAUGCCUAUGAACUAAUAUGUAAUCGAGUCAAUUAGUUUGUUGCGAAACAAAGCUGAAAGAUGCACUAAGCGAAGUUUAAGUAGUAAAGGAUAAAAGAAAAAUCAAAGCCAUAUAAGACACAAGAUGUAUGUAGAGACUCAAAAUGGGAAAAAUCAUGAGGAGAGAGAGGCAUUUCACUAUCUUCAACAAUGAGUAUAGAAGUACAAUCCAAAAGUUGUAAAAAUCUCUUGAUAAGCCACAAGAUCUAAAGAUCCAGCAAGAAGAUAAAAAAAUAAAAGAAGAGAAAUAAUGUAGAAGUUAGGAUUAGAGGUGUGUUAAUAAACACAUCCUUUAAUAAUCUUUAUUCAAAAAACCUUGAAACAAAUAUACACAGUCCAAAAUCUUAUCACUAGUUUUUUUUUUUUUUUUGUCAGUCCUACUCUAUUCCUACUCUACACUCACUCUCAGACUUUUGCCCUGCCUCUUGCAGGGCGUGGGAGUCGAAGCCCGCUCCUGAAACUUAUGCGUCCCCACCCCCAUCCCCCUUAGUUUGAAAGUUAAAACUCGACACAGUUACCUAUAGUAAAGCUCCUGAGAUAGGAGCAACUAUACAUUCAAAGGAGCUGAAAUUUGAUUUCACUGAGUGGGAAACGUUUAUUAAGAGAGGCCAGCCACCCACGGGUUAUAAAAGGAGCGCUUCUAAAGAGGAAAGGACAUGCGCAACCAUACAAAGAACAAAAUUUACUUCUGUCAAUGCACUUUACUUACAAUUUAUCUCCAGUAAUUUUCUAGAAAUUUCCUGUCCCUAAAGAUGUUUAUUUUCUGUUGUUAAUCAAACACUUGCUCUUAUUCUUUCUAAGAGAUAUGUGUUCUCUUUCCUACGACACAAUUGUUCAUCAAUUCGAAGUGAGAAAUAUCUGACCAAGAUUUGAUCAAUCAAAGUGUGAUAAUAUUUAUCGUCAUUCAACAAUUUAAAGGGAGUAAUUUUCAAGCAAACAUGGCCUUAUUAGCAAAAUUAAAAAGAAUUUCUUUUGGUAAGUAAAUUAAAAAGAAUUUCCAAUGACCAAUGUACAAAAAAAAAUAAUAAUCUCAAUGUGUCCAAUAACUACUUAUUGUAGUUAUGAGUCACGAAUGUAGAAAUAACAAAUACGUUCUAAUUAUAAUUAUGAUAUAUGGAGUAUUACAUUUGUUAAUAUAUGUUUCAAGUUUGAGUUCAAAGAAAAUAUAUAAAUUUUAGAAAUUAAAAAAUAAAAGGAAAUCGAUGCCCUAUUUGAUAACAUUCCAAAUAAUGCUUGAUUCUAUUUUUUUUUUUUUGGUUCCCUGGAACAAAAAAAGAAUAUAAAUCCAUUUGAUAAAUUUUUUAUUCUUGAAAACAAUUUUUUUUAUCCAAUAGAAUAGAUUUAAAAUAGAACCAAGAAGUUAAAAAAAGUAGUUUUUGUUUUCGAAAAUGAUUUCAUAAUCAAGUCCAACUUUUUCUUUUUUCUCUUUUCUUUUAUUCUUUUCUACUUCUCCUUUCUUCUUCCUCCUAAUCGGUCCCAGGCCACUGUCGUCUCUACCGACGAUGGCCGGUGAUCAAUUGGGUGAGAUCCAAUGAGUUCGUCAUAGGCUCGCUUGGCCAUUGCGAGCAUUGGCCUAUUAGACAUGGCGAGGCCAAGCUUCGUCGAUGGCCAAGCCAGCCUUCGGCGAGUUUGUCGGACCUCACCCUGGCCUGGUAAGACUUUGGCGAGCUUGCUGGACCUCGCUCAACUGAUUAUCGGCAGCCACAAAGAAAGAGGAAGAAGAAAAAAAAAAGGAAAAGAAAAAAGAGAAAGAUAAGAAAAAUAUAAUAAAAUUUUUAAAAAAUUAAAAAGAAAUAAAAAUGUUUAAAAGUUUUAUCAAAUGCAUUUUUAUCCCAAAAAUAAAAAUUUUGAACAUUUACUAAAUGUUUUAAAAUGCUUAUAAAUUCAUUUAAAGAAUGGAAUUAAGAAAAUUUAUUUUUGAAAACAGAAUAAUUAUUAAAUACAUUCUUACGGACGAGGGAUAUGUACGGAAAUUGGGUUAGUGUUGGAGCGCUAAAAGACUGAAAUUUCUCUCAGCUAAUUAAAUGAAGGGGCACUACAAGACCGAAAAGGGGCCCACAAUUCCCAUAUAGAUAUCUACCUGUACGUCUGCAGCCAUGUCUUUUGUCAGGGAAAGGAAAGGAAAGGUAGCUGAAAAGCAGGGGUUUGCUUUUCUCCUCCCCCACCUCCGGUCGCCGCGUUAAUAUAUAAAGAAUAAAAAAUGAAAGUGCCCAUGUUCAUUAAAACAAAAAUAGGAUGCAGUCUAUGGCUAAGCUUGAUUCAAAUUUUACAAAUAGGCUUUUGGGUAUUAAUGUAAUAAAUGCCGAAAAUCAAAUUUUUUUAGAGAAAUGUAAAUUGCGUUUGGAAAAAAUUAGUGUUGGCAAAAAAAAAAAAAUUGACAAGGGAUUUUGCCUGCGUUUUUUUUAUAUUUUAUAUUAAAUUAAAUUCAAAUCCUUCGCCAGAGUCUAUGAAGGGCUUAGGCGGACAGUAAGCCAAAUUUAGGGUCAACGGUUAUCAAUUGAGCUCACAUGAGACCUAGGUGAGGGCUGUUUGAUGUCGUGUGCCUCGGUAAGGGGCUAAGGGUUGCGCAAGACCUAGGCAAUUGUCGCCUAGGGUUGCACAACCUUGGGUGAACGUCGCCAGAGGUCAUGUCACCCGGGGUGUCGAUCCUUCACCAGCCAUAUUCGGCCUUCUUCGGCCAUCCUCACAUGAAGAAGACAAAUAAUUAUAAGGAGGGAAAAAUUAGAAAACUAAUUAAUUGGCAAGGGUAGUUUUGGAAGAAAAAAUAUUUUAAUUUUAAUUUCAACAUUUUGCAAAUGCUACUUUGGAAUGCCAGUGGCUUUUCAACAUUCCCAAAUCUUACAUUUGGUCGAAAAUUAUUUCAAAAUAUUUGCCAAACAUCCCAGCAUUUUCCCAAGGGGCCAUGCCAAGGGGUAUUGAGGUUGAAAACCUAUUGAUAAAGCUGAAUCAAACACAUCCUUCACAUAGCGAUAAACAUGCGGAGUCUUGAAGUACCAUUUGAUAGUGAAUUUAUUCAUGAAACUACAUCCAAGAAUUCAAGUGUUUAUAGCUGAUUAAAUCUUGUGGUAACAUUUGUUUAAUUGGUUCAUGAGAUUGAGAAAUUAUUUUGUGAGGAAUUGUAGGGUGAAAUACCGUGUGAGUUAUUGGGUGUAAUUGAAACUUAUAAAAUACUGGGAGUGUUUGAUUGACUCGAGGAUGUUCGUAAUCUUCAUUCUAUCACUUGAUCUAUAAUAAAAUUUAUUAUUGCUCUCCCUGUGGACCACGUUAAGAUAGUAUUCAAUCUAUUUUGUUAUUUUGUAUAUUUUACAUUAGAUCACUUACUUUCGCAUUUAUUUAGAGAGAGAGAGAGAGAGAGAGAGAGUGGGGAGAAAGAUGCGAUAGGUUAGAGGAUUUAUAGGGUUUGCGGGUCUAAUUUUUCACCCUUUAAAAUAAAAUAUGACAUACAACGGUAGUCUCCACUCCACAGCAUCUUCAUGGAAGACAGGUGGGUGUACGUUAGCCUCAGCAUCCUCCUUCUUCUUCCUUCUCUUCUUGUUCAAAUUGCAGAGAAGCAACAAGAGGAAUCUCCUGCUGAGCCCACCACUCCCAAUCAUCGGCCACCUCCUCCUUAUUAAAGAGCCGGUCCACCAGACCCUCCCGUCUCUCUCCGACCGCUACGGCCCGUCCUUUCCCUCUCCUCCGGCUCUUGCUCCGUGGUUGUCAUAUCCUCCCCAUCCGUAGCCAGUGCAACACCACCAUCAGCAUCGCCCCUUAUGGCCCCCAUUGGCCCAACCUCUGCCGCCUCACGGCCCUUGGAAUCCUUUUGUUGCACCGCCUUGCUGGCUCCCUCACCAUUUGGCUAGAGGAAGUGAGGCUACUCGUGAAGAGCCUCUCUGAGUUGACUGCGGUGGCAGUAGGGGGUGGGGGUUCCGUAAGGGUGGAGAUGAGGUCAAGGCUGCAGGAGCUUGCCAUCAACAUCAUUAUGAGGAUGAUCUCUGGGAAGUGCUACUUAGCAGCUACUGUCGACACGAGCAAUGCCGAGGUGGCCAGCGGUUCAUGGAGGUGAUAAAGGAUACACUCGAGCCAAGCGGGACGGACCCAUGCGAUUUCUUGCCGGCACUGAGGAGGGUGGUGGACUUCAAGGGGAGAGAGAGGAGGAUGGUGGACGUGGCCAAGAGGUCCGAUGUGAUCUUGCAGGGCAUGAUAGACGAGCUCAGGUCGAUUCCAUGCUGUGAGAGGGCUACUCGGACGGCAUCAUCAAAGGUCAUAUCCUGGUAUGUGUAUAACACAUGUUCUGUUCACUUGACUUAUGCAUGUACAGUGAGAUGGUUCUUCUCAAUUUAUACUUAUGAGUUUGACUGAAGUCUUUGGGCGCUCACCAACAAAAGAAAAUAGGAAUAACAAGUCAUUUGCUGCUAUACCGCCUUGUGAGCUUAAAGUGGUAAGAACACGGGGGUUCGUCUGGAAAGAAAGGAAACAAGAGGUGAAGAGAGCGAAUGGACAAAAAUAUGACCUACUUCCUAAACAAAAAGGCAUUUCAAUACCCUUAGCUUUGAAUGAUGGUUGAGAAUCUUCCAAUACACGUACUUUCGUGAAUUUAGACCAUUAAAAACGGCAGCUCUUUCUAAGGAUAUUACAAUUAAUUUUUUUUUAAUGGUUGACAAAAUUCAAACUGGUUUCACAUAUAUGAUUUAUAUUUUAAAUAAUCUCGUUUCUCUUUUCUAUUUUGAGUAUAGGGUUGUUUUUUCUUUGUCAUUAUUGCAUGAUCACAAUGAAUGUGAGCCCAAUGCAUAUGCAUUGAUGGACCGUAUAGGGUUGUUUUUUCUAGGGUGGAGUCCUUUCAUCCAAAGUGUAAUGAAUCGGGCUCACAUCCCCGAGAGUGAUGUGUGACAGGACAAUGCAUUUUUUUUCUUCAAUGGUGGCCGCUUUUUAGAUUGUUGUAGAUUUCGAAGGAGAAAGAAGCAUAAAGGACAAAAUUAGAGCAAUUAUAGGGCGCAAUACACGUGGAAAUGUCAAUUACACAAAAUCUUUUGUCGUUUGCACGGAAAAUUAUUUCAUAGCUAGAAAUGGUUUAGACACCGCAAACCCUAUAAAACCAUGUCAUCCCUCUCCCCACUAUAUCUCUCUUCCUCCCCCCCCCCCCCCCCCCCCCCCCAACCCCCCCCCCCCCGGGACACGUAGUCUCCGUAGUAUCUUCAUGGAAGACGUGGGGAUGCACCUUAUCUCAGCAUCCGCCUUCCUUUUCCUUCUCUUCUUGUUCAAAUUGCAGAGAAGCAACAAGAGGAAUCUCCCACCAAGCCUGCCUUCACUCCCUAUCAUCGGCCACCUCCUCCUUAUUAAAGAGCCAGUCCACCGGACCCUUCAGUCUCUCUCCGACCGCUACGGCCCGGUCCUCUCCCUCUCCUUCGGCUCCCGCUCCGUGGUUGUCAUAUCCUCCCCAUCCGC